Molecule: transfer RNA, 71 nt
Filed under: Camelus bactrianus (Bactrian camel)
Lineage: Eukaryota; Metazoa; Chordata; Mammalia; Artiodactyla; Camelidae
Also listed under: 1 other name
Rfam family: tRNA
About the family: Transfer RNA (tRNA) molecules are approximately 80 nucleotides in length. Their secondary structure includes four short double-helical elements and three loops (D, anti-codon, and T loops). Further hydrogen bonds mediate the characteristic L-shaped molecular structure. tRNAs have two regions of fundamental functional importance: the anti-codon, which is responsible for specific mRNA codon recognition, and the 3' end, to which the tRNAs corresponding amino acid is attached (by aminoacyl-tRNA synthetases). tRNAs cope with the degeneracy of the genetic code in two manners: having more than one tRNA (with a specific anti-codon) for a particular amino acid; and 'wobble' base-pairing, i.e. permitting non-standard base-pairing at the 3rd anti-codon position.
Source: Rfam by way of RNAcentral
GAGGGUAUAGUUCAGUGGUAGAGUAUGUGCUUAGCAUGCACGAAGUCCUGGGUUCAAUUCCAGGGCCUCCA